UGCGAAGGGGGCUAGCGUUGUUCGGAAUUACUGGGCGUAAAGGGCGCGUAGGCGGUACUUCAAGUCAGGCGUGAAAGCCCCGGGCUCAACCUGGGAACCGCGCUUGAGACUGGAGAACUAGAGUUCGGGAGAGGAUGGUGGAAUUCCCAGUGUAGAGGUGAAAUUCGUAGAUAUUGGGAAGAACACCGAUGGCGAAGGCAGCCAUCUGGACCGACACUGACGCUGAGGCGCGAAAGCGUGGGGAGCAAACAGG
This 253-nucleotide ribosomal RNA is filed under the name uncultured bacterium. Its description in RNAcentral is "partial 16S ribosomal RNA". It matches the Rfam family "Bacterial small subunit ribosomal RNA", at positions 524 to 776 of the family's 1533-position model. The record is from RNAcentral.